This 73-nucleotide transfer RNA is filed under the name Paramuricea clavata. It matches the Rfam family "tRNA". Rfam says of the family: Transfer RNA (tRNA) molecules are approximately 80 nucleotides in length. Their secondary structure includes four short double-helical elements and three loops (D, anti-codon, and T loops). Further hydrogen bonds mediate the characteristic L-shaped molecular structure. tRNAs have two regions of fundamental functional importance: the anti-codon, which is responsible for specific mRNA codon recognition, and the 3' end, to which the tRNAs corresponding amino acid is attached (by aminoacyl-tRNA synthetases). tRNAs cope with the degeneracy of the genetic code in two manners: having more than one tRNA (with a specific anti-codon) for a particular amino acid; and 'wobble' base-pairing, i.e. permitting non-standard base-pairing at the 3rd anti-codon position. The record is from Rfam by way of RNAcentral. Lineage: Eukaryota; Metazoa; Cnidaria; Anthozoa; Malacalcyonacea; Plexauridae.
GACCGCGUAGCUCAGUUGGAAGAGCAUUGGGCUGGUAUUCCAAAGGUCGUAGGUUCGAAUCCCACCGCGGCCG